UUGAACGCUGGCGGCAGGCCUAACACAUGCAAGUCGAGCGGAUGAAGGGAGCUUGCUCCUGGAUUCAGCGGCGGACGGGUGAGUAAUGCCUAGGAAUCUGCCUGGUAGUGGGGGAUAACGUCCGGAAACGGGCGCUAAUACCGCAUACGUCCUGAGGGAGAAAGUGGGGGAUCUUCGGACCUCACGCUAUCAGAUGAGCCUAGGUCGGAUUAGCUAGUUGGUGGGGUAAAGGCCUACCAAGGCGACGAUCCGUAACUGGUCUGAGAGGAUGAUCAGUCACACUGGAACUGAGACACGGUCCAGACUCCUACGGGAGGCAGCAGUGGGGAAUAUUGGACAAUGGGCGAAAGCCUGAUCCAGCCAUGCCGCGUGUGUGAAGAAGGUCUUCAGAUUGUAAAGCACUUUAAGUUGGGAGGAAGGGCAGUAAGUUAAUACCUUGCUGUUUUGACGUUACCAACAGAAUAAGCACCGGCUAACUUCGUG
RNAcentral lists this ribosomal RNA (483 nucleotides) under uncultured bacterium. Its description in RNAcentral is "partial 16S ribosomal RNA". It matches the Rfam family "Bacterial small subunit ribosomal RNA", at positions 30 to 507 of the family's 1533-position model. The record is from RNAcentral.